RNAcentral lists this ribosomal RNA (526 nucleotides) under uncultured Acidobacteriota bacterium. RNAcentral describes it as "bacterial SSU rRNA". It matches the Rfam family "Bacterial small subunit ribosomal RNA", at positions 378 to 896 of the family's 1533-position model. Lineage: Bacteria; Pseudomonadati; Acidobacteriota. The record is from RNAcentral.
AAACCCUGAUCCAGCAACGCCGCGUGGGGAUGAAGGUCUUCGGAUUGUAAACCCCUGUUGGGAGGGACGAAGGCUUGCGGGCGAACAGUCCGUACGCUUGACGGUACCUCAAGAGGAAGCCCCGGCUAACUCUGUGCCAGCAGCCGCGGUAAUACAGAGGGGGCGAGCGUUAUUCGGAAUUAUUGGGCGUAAAGGGCGCGUAGGCGGCCGAGCAAGUCUUGGGUGAAAUCCCUCGGCUCAACCGAGGAACUGCCUUGGAAACUGCUUGGCUUGAGGCCGGGAGAGGGUGGUGGAAUUCCCAGUGUAGCGGUGAAAUGCGUAGAUAUUGGGAGGAACACCAGUGGCGAAGGCGGCCACCUGGACCGGUCCUGACGCUGAGGCGCGAAAGCGUGGGGAGCAAACAGGAUUAGAUACCCUGGUAGUCCACGCCCUAAACGAUGGGUACUCGGUGUCGCGGGUAUCAACCCCCGCGGUGCCUUAGCUAACGCGUUAAGUACCCCGCCUGGGGAGUACGGUCGCAAGGCUG